GGCAUAUCAGAGAAUUCUGUCAUUUCGGUCGCGGGGCAACGAAUGAAUAAAGAUCGUUAGCACUCUGAAAAACAGAUGACAGAUGUGCCCGAAGUUACUACUUUAUUACCUCCUUGGGUGAAAUCGAAGCGUAGUGUGUACUGAAUGCUUGUUGAUGAUGAUGCAUAUGAAUUGCAACUUACACGUCUUCCAAACCUUUUCAGUACCCUGGCACAUGCUUUGUCCAAUGGACCAUGGAAGGGACUUUACUUGGCUGACGAGGACGCACCUCACCAGUAUCAGAGCAACAGCUGUGGGGUGUUUAUGCUGAUGUACGCAAUGUAUUCUACCCUCAAAAGCAAUAUGAUUUCAGUGAGGGGGACAUGCUCUCUAUCAGGAGGUGGUGGUGUGGACAGCUGUUGGAGACCUUUAUGCUUGAAAGCCCUGCAGAACUAGCUGGCUCCUUCUCACCCUCUCCAUCUCCCCAUCUCAGUCACACCUUCCAAUCACUAAGCAGUGAAAGCCCUGCAGGACUAGCUGGCACACCAAGCUCACCCUCUCCAUCUCCCCAUCUCAGUCACACGCUCCAAUCUGGCACAACAGAGGACAGGCCAUUCUUACCACCCGAAGUCCUUCAGCAAUUUGUACAAGAGACGCUGAGACUGGACAUGGCGAUGCUUGGCGUGUUCAACAGGGUUUCAAACACAUUCCGAGAACUAAUCAAGCCUCUCCAUCCUUCCAUAUAUAUAAAUGACAGUUUGGCAGGGGACAUUAAGCUUAAUAAAGACAAUCUCAUAUACAUAACGGUUAGAAAGAUUUACAACAAUGCAGGCUGUGGCAGUGGCCUUGCGCUAUGCCUCAAAGGCUUCUCAAAAAGAAGAAUUGGCCAAGCGCACCUCUGGUACUGAGGCACGUUGCAUAUGGCAGGUUUGUCAUAAAAGAUGUCUGCCUAGCAUAAUGUUCUUCUAUUACUCCUUUUUCGUUUUAUUUGGGACGUCAUUUUUUGCAAUCCCUUUCAUUUGUAAAUGUACAUACUACUGUAGUAAAUGUAUCUGCCCAGAAAUGCUGGUAUUUUAUUACUCCUUUCUUUUUUGUUUUUGUGACAAAUGCUAUACGAUGUAUAACAUGCAUUUGUGCCUACGAUGUAUGUUGUAAGGUUAAUUGUUACAGAGCAAUUACUGUAUUUUGUCUUUAUUGAAAACAUUCAGUGGGAAAAGUAAGUGAACACUUGGAGUCAAAUGGUCUACUGUUUGAGCCUUCAUAGUGUCUGGUGGUAACUGGAUUUGAACUGCAUAAUGUCCCAAGUGUUAUUUUAAUCUAUUCAUUAUUUAAUUUGGGCAUAUUCUUAAACAACUAUAUCAAACAUCUCACUUAUAUCUAAUACCCUACCUAUACUAACCCAGAAGAUAAUGAACAUGAGAUCAUGGAGCCUCCCUGUAAUGAUCGUGUUGCAUCAAGUUUGAUGCAAAGUUUGGGCCGAGAUCCGACGCAUAAAUGUAAGCUAACA
Molecule: RNA transcript, 1486 nt
Organism: Gadus chalcogrammus (walleye pollock)
Lineage: Eukaryota; Metazoa; Chordata; Actinopteri; Gadiformes; Gadidae
Exons: 6
Source: RefSeq, a predicted model, not a curated record